CCUACGGGCGGCAGCAGUGAGGAAUAUUGGUCAAUGGACGAGAGUCUGAACCAGCCAAGUAGCGUGAAGGAUGACUGCCCUAUGGGUUGUAAACUUCUUUUAUAUGGGAAUAAAAUGUUCCACGUGUGGGAUUUUGUAUGUACCAUAUGAAUAAGGAUCGGCUAACUCCGUGCCAGCAGCCGCGGUAAUACGGAGGAUCCGAGCGUUAUCCGGAUUUAUUGGGUUUAAAGGGAGCGUAGGUGGAUUGUUAAGUCAGUUGUGAAAGUUUGCGGCUCAACCGUAAAAUUGCAGUUGAAACUGGCAGUCUUGAGUACAGUAGAGGUGGGCGGAAUUCGUGGUGUAGCGGUGAAAUGCUUAGAUAUCACGAAGAACUCCGAGUGCGAAGGCAGUUCACUGGACUGCAACUGACACUGAGGCUCGAAAGUGUGGGUAUCAAACAGGAUUAGAUACCCCAGUAGUC
This 460-nucleotide ribosomal RNA is filed under the name uncultured bacterium. RNAcentral's name for it is "partial 16S ribosomal RNA". It matches the Rfam family "Bacterial small subunit ribosomal RNA", at positions 338 to 795 of the family's 1533-position model. The record is from RNAcentral.